AACGAACGCUGGCGGCAGGCCUAACACAUGCAAGUCGAACGUGAAGCCAGAGCUUGCUCUGGUGGAAAGUGGCAGACGGGUGAGUAACGCGUGGGAAUUUGCCCAGUGGUACGGAAUAACUCAGGGAAACUUGUGCUAAUGCCGUAUACGCCCUUCGGGGGAAAGAUUUAUCGCCAUUGGAUAAGCCCGCGUCGGAUUAGCUUGUUGGUGAGGUAAAAGCUCACCAAGGCGACGAUCCGUAGCUGGUCUGAGAGGAUGAUCAGCCACACUGGGACUGAGACACGGCCCAGACUCCUACGGGAGGCAGCAGUGGGGAAUAUUGCACAAUGGGCGCAAGCCUGAUGCAGCCAUGCCGCGUGAGUGAAGAAGGCCUUAGGGUUGUAAAACUCUUUCACCGGUGAAGAUAAUGACGGUAGCCGGAGAAGAAGCCCCGGCCAACUCCGUG
This 445-nucleotide ribosomal RNA is filed under the name uncultured bacterium. Its description in RNAcentral is "bacterial SSU rRNA". It matches the Rfam family "Bacterial small subunit ribosomal RNA", at positions 29 to 507 of the family's 1533-position model. The record is from RNAcentral.